This 512-nucleotide ribosomal RNA is filed under the name uncultured bacterium. RNAcentral's name for it is "bacterial SSU rRNA". It matches the Rfam family "Bacterial small subunit ribosomal RNA", at positions 219 to 720 of the family's 1533-position model. The record is from RNAcentral.
UAUUAGAUGAGCUUGCGUCCGAUUAGUCUAGUUGGUGGGGUAAAGGCCUACCAAGGCGACGAUCGGUAACUGGUCUGGAGAGGAUGAUCAGUCACACUGGAACUGAGACACGGUCCAGACUCCUACGGGAGGCAGCAGUGGGGAAUAUUGGACAAUGGGGGCAACCCUGAUCCAGCCAUGCCGCGUGUGUAGAAGAAGGCCUUCGGGUUGUAAAGCACUUUAAGCGGGGAGGAAGGCCUGAUGGCUAAUAUCCAUCGGGAUUGACGUUACCCGCAGAAUAAGCACCGGCAAACUUCGUGCCAGCAGCCGCGGUAAUACGAAGGGUGCGAGCGUUAAUCGGAAUUACUGGGCGUAAAGCGCGCGUAGGUGGUUAAGUAAGCGAUCUGUGAAAGCCCCGGGCUUAACCUGGGAACUGCAGGUCGAACUGCUUGGCUAGAGUAUGGUAGAGGGGUGUGGAAUUUCCUGUGUAGCGGUGAAAUGCGUAGAUAUAGGAAGGAACAUCAGUGGCGAAG